UCGGGAAUUUUGGGCAAUGGGCGAAAGCCUGACCCAGCAACGCCGCGUGAAGGAUGAAGUAUUUCGGUAUGUAAACUUCGAAAGAAUAGGAAGAAUAAAUGACGGUACUAUUUAUAAGCUCCGGCUAACUACGUGCCAGCAGCCGCGGUAAUACGUAGGGAGCAAGCGUUGUUCGGAUUUACUGGGCGUAAAGGGCGCGUAGGCGGCGCGGUAAGUCACUUGUGAAAUCUCGGAGCUUAACUCAGAACGGCCAAGUGAUACUGCAGUGCUAGAGUGCAGAAAGGGCAAUCGGAAUUCUGAGUGUAGCGGUGAAAUGCGUAGAUAUCAAGAGGAACACCUGAGGCGAAGGCGGGUUGCUAGGCUGACACUGACGCUGAGGCGCGAAAGCCAGGGGAGCAAACG
This 402-nucleotide ribosomal RNA is filed under the name uncultured bacterium. RNAcentral describes it as "bacterial SSU rRNA". It matches the Rfam family "Bacterial small subunit ribosomal RNA", at positions 355 to 774 of the family's 1533-position model. The record is from RNAcentral.